Molecule: ribosomal RNA, 251 nt
Filed under: uncultured bacterium
Lineage: Bacteria
Description: partial 16S ribosomal RNA
Rfam family: Bacterial small subunit ribosomal RNA
Source: RNAcentral
GCAAGUCGAGGGGUAACAUAAAGUGCUUGCACUUUGAUGACGACCGGCGCACGGGUGCGCAACGCGUAUAGAAUCUACCCUUUACUGGGGGAUAGCCCAGAGAAAUUUGGAUUAAUACCCCAUAGUAUGUUUUUAUGGCAUCAUAUGAACAUUAAAGGUUACGGUAAAGGAUGACUAUGCGUCCCAUUAGCUAGAUGGUAAGGUAACGGCUUACCAUGGCGACGAUGGGUAGGGGCCCUGAGAGGGGGAUC